UAUCCGUAGGUGAACCUGCGGAAGGAUCAUUAUUGAAUAAACCUGAUGUGGUUGUAGCUGCCCUUUCGGGAGCAUGUGCACACCCGUCGUCUUUAUCUUUCCACCUGUGCACCUUUUGUAGACCUGGAUGUAGCACUUUCCGAGGCAACUCGGUCGGGAGGAAUGCUGUCAGCUUUCCUUGAAUGUCCAGGCCUAUGUUUUCAUAUACCCCAAAGAAUGUAACAGAAUGUAUUAUUGGGCCCUGUGCCUAUAAACUAUAUACAACUUUCAGCAACGGAUCUCUUGGCUCUC
Molecule: unclassified non-coding RNA, 291 nt
Filed under: plant metagenome
Description: partial contains small subunit ribosomal RNA, internal transcribed spacer 1, and 5.8S ribosomal RNA
Source: RNAcentral